Manis javanica (Malayan pangolin) is the source of this 3161-nucleotide long non-coding RNA. RefSeq lists it as uncharacterized. The record is from RefSeq and is a predicted model, not a curated record. NCBI's taxonomy places the organism in Eukaryota, Metazoa, Chordata, Mammalia, Pholidota, Manidae.
ACAUGAGCGUGGCGAAGAACUCGAUCGGAGGCUACUUGUUUAUCUCGAAAGCCAAGCACACAUGUGUUUAUGAAAUAAGUGUGAUUCGAAACUGGCAGGUGAACUAGCAAGAGGAGCCAACUGUGCAGGCAUUUUCCGGAGCGACAUGCACACCCCUGAGCAGCUCCGAUUCCCCCGCGCGCACAGCGGCCCCCGGGGCCUCGGCUGCGGGACCCGGAGCUCCCGCCACGCCCACCGGACGUCACCCGUUACACAACGCCCGCCGCCCCCCCGCCCCGCUUAUGCAAUUCCGCCCUCCCGCGGCUUCCGACUGCCCCACUGACUUUUGUGGGAGACGAAGGUGCCUGGCCAGCUGCACCAUGCCUGCCAGGGCCGCAGAGGAUCAUGGCUGCUGCGAGCCCAGAAAUUAGUCACCAUCGUGCAAAGGAGGGAGUCACGUCUCAGGACACAAACUAGACGGAUAUACGUCUCCUCCUCUCCAAGUCUCAAAACUUCUGGCAGAAUACUCUGAACAUUACGAACAACACCCACACAAGAUUUUGUCUGACAAUAAGAGUUUCAAGUCAAUUAACAAUCGUGGAGCUUUUGGAAGUAUCUCACAGGAAGCAAACCUAAAUGACUCCUCCCGGAUAGAAGUCAUCUCUUGGGCAGAUUCUUGUCUUAGAGUAAAAUGCUUCCAAUUACUUGUUUAUAUAAUCAAAUGGCCAUGUGCCCCUCUGAGAGCCCACGUUAGGAGGAAAUUCAACAUCUCAAUAAGCGUUCACUUGUAAAAGAGUUCACUGUAUCCAGAAGCUGAAGAUCCUAUUUCUGGGUUAUUCACCUACUAAUUUCUCCACUUUCUUACUCAUUUUUUCUCAGCCUUUCUCUCAGAUCUGUCAGUAAUACUUUACUUUCCCAGCCCAUGUUUACAAGUACUUUUAGAGCUCUUCUGUGUCCGUCAGUUACCUUACAGGUGCUUCUUAUUUAAGAAAAUCAGGUAUAUUAAAGUCCGAACUGCUCUAAAAGUUAAAUUGGGAAGGAUGUUGUUCUCCAUUACAAAGCAUUCCUCACCUUACAAAAGGUGCCAAGGGCUUCUUACCUCCUUUCUGUAAAUACUAUUAAGCACAUUUGCAAGACGAUGAAUUCUGUCCAUGGGCACUGGUGAUGCUGAUACAUCAGUGUGAAAAUACUGAACUCUACACUUAAAAAUGGUUAAGAUGGUCAAUUUUGUAUUACGUAUAUUCUACCACAAUUAAAAAAUAUGUUAUUGGGCAUCUACCAUAGGCCUGCCCUAUUGCCAAUGCUGUAGUCACAGCACUGAGUGAAGAGAUUCCCCCCUCACGGCCCACAUGGCGUGUGACAGUCUAGUCUACUGACCAAGUGUGUGUCCACACGGUGUAUUUUGAUGACACUUUCCAAACAGCUUGCAACUUACAGUACAAAGUUACCGAAGCAGUAUUUCAUGUUGUAUAUAAAGCACAGUCCCAAACAUGCACGCCCUGAACAGCACAGAUCAGCAGCCACAGCAAAUGUGGCAAUGUGAUAAGAAGAAAACACGCGAGGGUAGAGAUCGGCAUGCUGUUUCACAAAAGGUGAUGAGGUGGAGAAGGUUCUCUUUGGUAAGGUGACAUCUUAGUAGAGCCCUGAAGGCUGUGAGGCAGAAACUUGUAGGGAUAACCAGCCGGGGACACUGUUCCAGGUAGAAAGAAGUCCAGAGUGGCUUUUGAGGCAGGAGUUGCUCUGCAUGUUGGAAGCAUAAUAGAGAAGCUGAAGGAGCAGGAACAGAGAGCAAAGGGAGGGUGGCAGAUGGGGUCAGAGAAGCAGGGAAGAGGGGGAGGUUGUGGGACGAAGCAAAAUUAUAUUACUGGGUAAGACAGAAGCCAUUGAAGGGUCUAACAGAAGGGUUCAUGAUGUGACUUCCCUCUUCAGAGGUUACGUUGGCUGCUUUGCAAGGAGCAGACCUCAGUUGAGAGAGCGUGGAAGAAUGGAGAGAGCAAAUGGAAGGCAACUGCAAUGGUCCAAGCAAGAAAUGGUGGGGAUGGGACUAGGAUAUUCAGAUCUGGGAUCUAAUUUACCAUAUGCUUUUUCAGGACAUCCCAAACAGCUCCAGGCUCCCAUAAUAAAAGAUUCCAAACUGGAAAAUACAGUAUUAUCCCCAAGUUCUAGGUCUUAUUUGGGGGGAAUCUGUUUCUUAGUGUACAUGCUCAAAAAAAAUUCUUCUUAGAACGAUAAUUCUUCAGGUUGUCAAAAACAAAUCAGCAAAAAAAAAAAAAAAGAAAUCAGCAAACCUCGCAUUUUAUUUCAUAGGAAAGUUUUGUUUGUAUCUGGACAGAAUUUCUAUUUGGGUGAGGAUGGGCUCUUAUUAAAAGACAAACUAUGUUCUUUGUUAUAUAGAUGCUCCUUAUUUUUGAAGCUGUCAACAUUCCAUAAUUAUAAGUAGUCAGGUUGAUAUAACUGGCUAUGUUAUAUAGCUUUUGAAGCACCUUGUGUCUCCAGAGCUCAGAAAGUACAUAAUGCUCAUUAAUGAAUCUUCCCAUGGAGUUUUUAGCUCACUCCUGGCUUUGAUUAACUGUUAUGCUUAGUGUGGUCAACUUUCUUCUGGAAAAAACCUGACUUUGGCCCUGAAGUCUCUUUUUCCAAUGGCUGUUAAUCAAUUCUGCAAGAUGCCUCAAGUUCUUUUUGGAGAUAGGCUGUCAUAAAUCAGUAAAAAUAGUCAUUGUUUAGCCCGAGAGUGGAGAAGUACAAGCUAUCAUAUGUGCAAGGUAGCAUGGUGUAGACAGACAUACACACAUGGGAAAGACUGAUUCUCUCUGGGGUUUACAUGGGUCCUACUGCUUAUAUAUCACUCUCUUCUCAGUCUAACAGAGGGUUGUAAAUCGCACGUAAUCCAAGAACCUACUAUCAAAACAAAUACAUUUUGUGAGAUGUGAACUGUCACUUCACUUUAGCAAUGACUUGAGAUCAUUGCUUAGGGUGUAUAUAGAAUGUUUUCAUACGAGCCUGUAUUUCCUGAAAAAGAUUGAAUUUACAGGAAAAAAAUUAACAGGGCUCUUUAAACAGAGUCUAAACUGGCUUCCUCAUUCUUAGCAUACAAAUAAAUUAUGUGGCUAAGUAAUAUGUAUGUAAACAUAUGCUGAGAAAAUAACUUGUGCUCUAUAUUAAAAGGUAUUAUUUGCUGUGUG